Eriocheir sinensis (Chinese mitten crab) is the source of this 4261-nucleotide long non-coding RNA. RefSeq lists it as uncharacterized. The transcript has 2 exons. The record is from RefSeq and is a predicted model, not a curated record. NCBI's taxonomy places the organism in Eukaryota, Metazoa, Arthropoda, Malacostraca, Decapoda, Varunidae.
AAAACUGCCUCUGUCCCAGAACUAAAAACAUUUGACUUGAGAAGUGUCAUGGCUCCAUCCACUUCAAACAUGUAUACAUGCGUGCAUCAAAAGGCAAUGAGAGGAGAAGGAAACAUCAGAUCUACAUUUUUAAAUAUUAUAAAACUGUUUCUAUAUGCAUUUUUAAGUCAAGAAAAUUUUAAAUGCAAGAUUUGGGGAUUUUUCUGGAUUGUGAAAAAAAUCAAAAUAUGCAACAGAUUACAUGACAACAAUGUCUUUACUUUUACUUAUUAUACUUUUGCUUUAUAUGAUUGAAUAUUUUUAAUAAAUUUGAUUCUUUUAAUAGAAAAUCAUCACCCAGAAUUCACUGAAAUUCACGAGUGGAUGACACUCCCGAGGCACCGUCCCCUCGCCAAACACUCACUGAGCACAGCUAUUACAGAGUGGCUUCAAUGGACUUUGGUCCAGAACCCGACUUCUCCCUAAUGUGUUUGUUUUUUUUUGCUAAUUUUUCAUUGUGUCUUUUAGGACUCCCUAGUCAAUAACACAAAUGUAGAGCUGCUCUUCACAGAGGCUGUGUGCUGACCUCCUCUCCCCUGCACACAAGGAAAGGCUUGAACUGAUCAGGCCUGCCCCCACACUGAUCAUUUUCACUGUGUUGGUCCAUUGCCUAGGUAAGCACACAGCAUGAUUCAUCAGCUAGACACUCUAUAAACUGUGCUGAAAUUCAUGUCUACUUCUUACAAGUGUGUCGUCAGUAAAACAUCCCUUAACCCCUUAACUGCAGAUUUCCUACAGUCAGACCUCACCAAGCUACAGGAAUGGACCAAAAAGUGGCUGCUACAAUUCAAUGAAGAAAAAUGUAGUCUUGCACCUUGGGAGGGGAUAUCCAGCGUACCAGUACCACAUGGGAAACACUCCACUAUCCACCACAGAGGCAGAGAAAAACCCAGGAGUAUAUGUUAUCAGGCUACCAGUAAAAGCCAAAUUCGUUCCAAUUGCAGUGGACGGGUUAACCAUUGAGUAAUCACCACAGUGUCUCUGGCAUUUUUUUUCAACUCCAGGUGCUUAUAUUAUGAAUGCUUCUUUCUAUGAAAAGUCAGGUAAUAAAAGUACAGAAUGAAUAAUAAAAACUUGAUCAUAAUAUCAUUACAGACAGCUGCUGCUCAGCUGAUACAGUCAUUUUGGAGGCGGGCCUGAACAGGUGCCGCAGCCAGUCCUGGUGCCAGCAGUAGCAGCUACACGCCGCGGUAAUGUGGUUAUCAAAUAUGCAUACAUAAUUAUUAUGUAUGCGUAUUUGAUGAACUGUCACUAUCCAGAAUACUGAAUAACUGCACUGGUGGUAACCACUGGUACCGGUACUGAGCAGUCUGGUACCAUUACCAUGUGGUUAGCCAGUACUGGUAGCAGCACCUGCCCAGUACUACAGCCAACAUGCCUGUUUGCUGAGGUGUAUCAGAUGCUUGCACUCAUGAUCCAGUUUUUAUCACCUGUUUCAUAAUCAUAUUACCUUUUUUUUUUUUUUAAAGCAGCAUUCAGUACAGGCAGUCCUUGAGUUCGUUGGGGUACAGUUGUGACAGGCAGGUCAUGAGUCAAAUUGAUCGUGUCUAAGUUUACAUUAAAAAAUUAAAUGUACAGCGUGUUUUAUUACGCAUGUAUCAGAUACGACCAACAGCCAGUGGGUGACUCUAUUCCUCACUUGCCGGGCAACUGGACAGUGUAGGAGUUGUUUCUUAUUUAUGUAUUAGUGUGUGAUUUCUUCAGCCAUGCCCUGGUAGGCAGUGGAGGUUUGUUUACUGCUGUGUCUUGCCUUGUGGCACACAGACAAUGAACAAAAUCAAAAUGAAAACAAUAGCAAUGGAAGUCAACAAAUAGGACACCGUGCGCUAUUACCAGGCAACUGAAUUUUUCCAGUAGUGACCACUUCUUCUUGGCCAACUUCAUGCUCUAAAGUUCUGACUACUUUAGAAAUGCCAUCACUGACUUUUCUUAUUGCCACAUGAAGUUUCAAACAAGGCCAACCAUGACCCAAGACCAACGCCAAAACAGUAACAGUCGACGCCGACAAGUAUGGUGCCGUACACUGUCACCAAGCAACUGACUUUUCCCGUAACUUCAAGCUCUAUUCAAUCAGUCAUUCAGUGGAGGCAAAUGUUGGGGGGGGCGUUGCCUCGUGCACCCUAUGACACCAAGUGCAGGGGUCUCUCUGGGCAAUUCUCCAUGCAGGCCCCCUUCCCAUUCUGAGUACCUACUUCAAGGAUCUAUCAACUUGCUAAAGCCACGAACUCUGUGGGUGUCCCCUUGGCCUCCUCCAUUCAGCAUUGUCUCUUACAGAGAUGACCUGAUGAGCAGGAUCAGCUUCAGAGUAGCGUGCAAGGUGCCAAAUAGCCAAAGUUGGUGUUGACACACUGAGCAGAUAAUAGGCCUCGAAUCAGUCUCACGGAGUAGUCACUGGUUUGACACAAAGUCAUUCCAGCAAUGUCCCAUGAUUCUGCAUGGAGAUUUAUUACCAAAGGCAUCAAUCCGCCUCUCCAAGUCUCCAUUUAGUGUCCAUGUCUCACAGCCAAAGCGUAAGACAGGGAGCACAAGGGACUUGAAGAUCCGGAUCUUUGUCCUUCUUCACAGGUAUCGACAACGCCAUAUACUCGUGCUGAGUGAGUCCAUAACACCGUGGGCCAAGUUAAUCUGCUGUAGGACUUCCUGGCGAGACUCACCGUUAUUAUGAACCACACUAAAUUUUCUGAAAUUUCAACGUCCUCGCCACACGAAUGAACAUACUGUGCUGUUUCAUCUUGCAAGCCUCCAAACACCUGUACCUUGGCCUUGGCCCAGGAGACCCCAAGUCCCAAGGGCUUUGCCUCCUCAUGCAGGGAAUUGAGAGCCAUCACCAAAACUUCCAGCGACUCUGCAAGGAUUACUGCAUCAUCAGCAAAAACAAGGUCAGUGACCCAGGCAUUGCCAAUGGAUGCUCCACAAUGACUGGUCCACAACUCUGUCCAGUACCCAGUCCAUACAAGUGUUGAAAAGCUCCAAGGUUCUGGAUAAUCCGAAAAUGUUGUCACUGACUACAACAUGAGCUCCACAGACACCUGAGGGGAAGGCUUGGGUGGGCUGAACUGUGGUGGUGGCAGCGGAGGGGUGGGAAGGGAGGCAGGAGGUGCAGGAAUGUUGUGCAAACACAUAUCUGAGCUAUUUGUGAAGGGAUUUCUAAAAUAUCAACUCAUUACAAUGUCUAGUGUUACUAACAUUAUUGGCCUCAACACAAGUAAUGUGCAAGUAGUUGUAAGUUGCACAUGUCGUAACCUAGCGACUGUCUGUAGUAAAUAAUUAGCAUGCUACAAUAUGCUUAAGCUCCUGAAGCUGAAAAAUGGCACAGCCUUCAUGGUGGGUGCCCAAGAUUUUAAUGACUACAUAUUUGUAAGAACUUUAUGUAAAUUACACAACAGUUUUUUAUAUGUAUAGAUAAUGAAAAAUGUUAGUCAUGAUAUUUUAUGAUAGUUUACGCAUGCAUGCAUACAUUGUCCCUUCCUUGAGAACGGCCAAAUCAUCGGCGAGCAGACCGUGUGUGUUGGGAGUGAGGUAAAGUUUGGUGCAUGCACCAUGGCUGCACGGGGGUGAGGUGCUCAUCUCUGCCGCAUUGGCCCCUUGGGCCUGUGGUGGGUGAGUGGUUAGCAUGCCGGCACAGCGUCCGGGAGCUCCAGAAGGGAAGCAGGUUCGAAUCCUGGCUGCCGCACAGCUGGGAUUUUUUGAUUACCACUGCACCCAGUGGCCUAAGACUACCCACAUGCUACCUGAAGACCACCUUUCAACCCAGACUCUAGAUCACCUUUCCAAAGAGAGGCUCCGGGGGGCAGCAUGAGCCAAAACAAGAUGGCGCCACUAUAAACACUCGCCUGCGCUGGAACAGGCUGGGCAGACCAUCAGGCCCCACCAGGGGAAAGCCUAAUGGCGGUGGCCGAACUGGUAGCGUACUGGGCCCACAUUCACCGCGUGAUGGACGACGCGGGUUCGAAUCCUCACGCUACCACUCGGAUUUUUCAGUCACCGCCGAGUGGCUUAAAACUACCCACAUGCUGUCCUGAAGACCACCCAUCAACCCGGACUCUAGAGGAAGCCGUCCAAGCGAAUCAAGAACGAGUUCCGGGGAGCAGCAUGAGCCAAUGCAAGAUGGCGCCACUAUAAACACUCGCCUGCGCCAGAACGGGCUGGGCCGACCAUCAGGCCCCACCAGGAAGAUGCCUACCGGCGCAACAGGCAGCGACGUAAAAAAAAAAAAAAAACA